GUAGAGACGCAGCAAACGGCUCAGUAACACGUGGCUAACCCACCUUUAGGACGGGCACAACCCCGGGAAACUGGGGCUAAUGCCUGAUAGGUGAGGACGCCUGGAAUGACCCUUCACCCAAAGGGUGCUGAAACCAUGCAUACAGCAUCGCCUAAAGACGGGGCCGCGACCGAUCAGGCAGUUGGCGAGGUAAAGGCUCACCAAACCUAUAACCGGUACGGGCCGUGAGAGCGGGAGCCCGGAGAUGGGCACUGAGACAAGGGCCCAGGCCCUACGGGGCGCAGCAGUUACGAAACCUCCACAAUGCGCGAAAGUGCGAUGGGGCUACCCCGAGUGCCGUCCGCUGAGGAUGGCUUUUCCUUAGCGUAAUGAACUAGGGGAAUAAGGAGAGGGCAAGACUGGUGUCAGCCGCCGCGGUAAUACCAGCUCUCCGAGUGGUAGGGAUGAUUAUUGGGCUUAAAGCGUCCGUAGCCGGCUCAACAAGUCUCCUGUCUAAUCCAACGACCUAAUCGCUGGACUGCAGGAGAUACUGCUGGGCUAGGGGACGGGAGAGGCCGACGGUAUUUCCGGGGGAGGGG
RNAcentral lists this ribosomal RNA (578 nucleotides) under uncultured archaeon. RNAcentral describes it as "bacterial SSU rRNA". It matches the Rfam family "Archaeal small subunit ribosomal RNA", at positions 70 to 632 of the family's 1478-position model. The record is from RNAcentral.